AAAGAAAAUAACAAUGAUUCCCCUAGUAACUGCGAGUGAAGAGGGACAAGCUCAAAUUUUAAAUCCAUCGGGUUUUACCCGAUCGAGUUGUAAUUUGAAGAGGCGUUUUCUGUGUUUCUGAUCAGUCCAAGUCCUUUGGGAUAAGGCAUCAUGGAGGGUGAGAAUCCCGUCCGGUUGAUCAGAUUCGCUUUACGAUACGCUUUCUAAGAGUCAAGUUGUUUGGGAUUGCAGCUUAAAAUGGGAGGUAAAUUUCUCCUAAGGCUAAAUAACGGCGAGAGACCGAUAGCGAACAAGUACCGUGAGGGAAAGAUGAAAAGAACUUUGAAAAGAGAGUUAAAUAGUACGUGAAAUUGUUGAAAGGGAAACGAUUGAAGCCAGUCGUACCUUCGGGUAAUCAGCCUUUUGGGUAUGAUUUUGUGGAACGUGAGGAGUUAAACGCCUUCAUGCCUGCAUAUUCGUGCACUUUGGGUGUACUUGCCCGUAUGGUUGGUUAACAUCAAUUUUGAUGGUCAUAAAAUGACUGGAGGAAUGUAGCUUCGAUCUCGUAUUGAAGUGUUAUAGCCUUCGGUAGAUGUGAUGAUCGAGAUUGAGGAUUGCAACGGAUACCCUUCGGGGCUACCUGUCUGAUCUCUGAUCGUUGCUCUGGUGCCGAAAGCUUGCUUACGGUUAUCAAAGUCGAUGGUCAAUAGGUUAGAACGGGUUAAAUU
RNAcentral lists this ribosomal RNA (707 nucleotides) under uncultured Glomeromycotina. RNAcentral's name for it is "eukaryotic LSU rRNA". It matches the Rfam family "Eukaryotic large subunit ribosomal RNA", at positions 58 to 632 of the family's 3401-position model. The record is from RNAcentral. Lineage: Eukaryota; Fungi; Glomeromycota.